ACUCAAAGGAAUAGACGGGGGCCCGCACAAGCAGCGGAGCAUGUGGUUUAAUUCGAAGCAACGCGAAGAACCUUACCAAGGCUUGACAUCUACAGAAUCCUAAAGAGAUUUGGGAGUGCCCUUCGGGGAACUGUAAGACAGGUGGUGCAUGGUUGUCGUCAGCUCGUGUCGUGAGAUGUUGGGUUAAGUCCCGCAACGAGCGCAACCCCUAUUGUUAGUUGCUACCAUUAAGUUGAGCACUCUAGCGAGACUGCCGAGGUUAACUCGGAGGAAGGUGGGGAUGACGUCAAAUCAUCAUGCCCUUUAUGCCUUGGGCAACACACGUGCUACAAUGGCCGGUACAAAAAGUUGCAAGCCCGCGAGGGGGAGCUAAUCUUAAAAACCGGUCCCAGUUCGGAUUGUAGGCUGCAACUCGCCUACAUGAAGCUGGAGUUGCUAGUAAUCGUGAAUCAGAAUGUCACGGUGAAUGCGUUCCCGGGCCUUGUACACACCGCCCGU
Molecule: ribosomal RNA, 498 nt
Filed under: uncultured bacterium
Lineage: Bacteria
Description: partial 16S ribosomal RNA
Rfam family: Bacterial small subunit ribosomal RNA
Source: RNAcentral